UACAGAGGUCCCAAGCGUUGUUCGGAUUCACUGGGCGUAAAGGGUGCGUAGGUGGUUGGGAAAGUUUGAUGUGAAAGCUCGGAGCUUAACUCCGAAAUGGCAUUGAAUACUUCUUAACUUGAGGGUCGGAGGGGAGACUGGAAUUCUCGGUGUAGCAGUGAAAUGCGUAGAUAUCGAGAGGAACACCAGUGGCGAAGGCGAGUCUCUGGACGACUCCUGACACUGAGGCACGAAGGCCAGGGGAGCAAACGGG
This 253-nucleotide ribosomal RNA is filed under the name uncultured bacterium. RNAcentral's name for it is "partial 16S ribosomal RNA". It matches the Rfam family "Bacterial small subunit ribosomal RNA", at positions 524 to 776 of the family's 1533-position model. The record is from RNAcentral.